Drosophila guanche is the source of this 1336-nucleotide long non-coding RNA. RefSeq lists it as uncharacterized. The record is from RefSeq and is a predicted model, not a curated record. The transcript has 3 exons. NCBI's taxonomy places the organism in Eukaryota, Metazoa, Arthropoda, Insecta, Diptera, Drosophilidae.
GGGGGAACGGAUAGUCAAAGGCACAGCUCACUCUCGGCUGAUUUUAGCACACAUUCUGUCCUUGCCAGGAAAGCUCGGUUAGGCUCAUUUAGAGUUUGACGCUGAGCAAUGGCAGUUGAAUGUUAUUGCAAAAAUCGAAUACGGAUGCACGAUACGCACCUAUGUAUAUAAAACUGCCUAUUUGCUCAGAGAGGAGAGCCGGUGGAAUUGUGGCAUUGCGGAAUUUCCAAAAAAAAAAAAAAAUAACCCGACAGACCAUCUUUUCAGAACAAAAUUACAAUUGCCUAUGACAAUGUGUGAAUAAUAAUAAACUUUUAUUAAUGACAGCUCAGUGUUAAUUGACCAUAAUAUACAACUGUUGUGAAGUGUAGUGUGGAUACGUGUAUAUUUGCUUUUUAAUACUUUUUACUACUAUCGCCUUUGAGUAAUUGUCCUGUCUAAUGAUACAUUAAAAAAUUGCCUCAGAAACGAAUCGAAUAUAAGCAAAGUUUUCUGGUUGGAACAUUUUGAAAGUGAUUGUUAUUACAUAUUUUAAUUAUAAUUUGUUCAGGAACUCCUGCGUUUGCGUGUUGGAAAACAACAAAACCGAAGUCAAUCAAUUUCAUCAAAUGCUUUCAUAUGCUUUAUUUAACAAAGAAAACAGUAACAAUGCCGCGCUUUGAUUUGAACCUUAUUAUUGCCAGAACAGAAAAAAAGCCUUCCUUCCUUAGUGCUAAAUAAGACAGUCUCCUGUUUUUUUCAUUUUUCUCUACACCAUUUUGUACUCAAGAGAGGAGAGUUGUCCCAUUUGUCGAUUGUCGUCUUCUCGUUUUUUUUCGUUUUUACAUUGCCAAACUUAUGCAAGCUGAGGGUGGAUUGUAUCGGCCGAGAGCAUGGCCAACCAUUUUGUUUUCUUUCACUUGCAAAACUCGUUCCACCCACCGUCACCAACACAAUCAGAUGAGGAUCCGAGGCAUUAAUUGAGGCCUUAUUCGGCAUGACUCGGAGCCCAACGCUGAUCUGUCGUGACUGCUGUUGUCAGCCUGCUUUAUAUACAGACCAUGCAAAAUGAAGUGACUGAUCCAAACCAUCCUUAAGGCAAGGCGUCAUAACAAUUUUAAACUCUGCUGGAGUUGCUUCAAGAAGAGAGAGUAGAUGUAAAACAAAUUUUUAAGACAAAUGGAAACGAACCAUUUUCUAUACUUCUGAACAAAAAGCGACAACAUAUCUACCGUUCUUUGUUCUCUCCUUUUCUAUUGUUUUUUAUAUAUCUCAUGACAAGUGCGAGCAACAUUUAGAUAGUUAAUCUAGAAAUAAAUUAAAACCCACACAAAAAGAGACGCUUCGUACGCGUCAC